Molecule: ribosomal RNA, 253 nt
Filed under: uncultured bacterium
Lineage: Bacteria
Description: partial 16S ribosomal RNA
Rfam family: Bacterial small subunit ribosomal RNA
Source: RNAcentral
UACGUAGGGUGCAAGCGUUAAUCGGAAUUACUGGGCGUAAAGCGUGCGCAGGCGGUUCGCCAAGUCAGGUGUGAAAUCCCCGGGCUUAACCUGGGAAUUGCGCUUGAAACUAGCGGGCUUGAGUGUGGCAGAGGGGGGUGGAAUUCCACGUGUAGCAGUGAAGUGCGUAGAGAUGUGGAGGAACACCGAUGGCGAAGGCAGCCCCCUGGGUCAACACUGACGCUCAUGCACGAAAGCGUGGGGAGCAAACAGG